UAAUAAGCGGAGGAAAAGAAACUAACAAGGAUUCCCCCAGUAACGGCGAGUGAAGCGGGAACAGCUCAAAUUUGAAAUCUCCGAGGUUUAUCGCCUCGGCGAGUUGUAGUUGCGAGAAGUACUUUCUCGGCGGACCGACCGCGCCUAAGUUGCUUGGAACAGCACGUCGCAGAGGGUGACAACCCCGUCUGUGGCGCGGCCGGCCGCUCACGAUGUGCUUUCGAAGAGUCGGGUUGUUUGGGAAUGCAGCCCAAAAGGGGUGGUAAACUCCAUCUAAAGCUAAAUACUGGCGUGAGACCGAUAGCGA
RNAcentral lists this ribosomal RNA (307 nucleotides) under Thalamophyllia riisei. RNAcentral's name for it is "eukaryotic LSU rRNA". It matches the Rfam family "Eukaryotic large subunit ribosomal RNA", at positions 44 to 343 of the family's 3401-position model. The record is from RNAcentral. Lineage: Eukaryota; Metazoa; Cnidaria; Anthozoa; Scleractinia; Caryophylliidae.